This 365-nucleotide ribosomal RNA is filed under the name uncultured Glomeromycotina. Its description in RNAcentral is "LSU rRNA". The record is from RNAcentral. Lineage: Eukaryota; Fungi; Glomeromycota.
UUGAAAGGGAAACGAUUGAAGUCAGUCGUACCGACGAGAAAUCAGCUUUUCGAAUGUGCAUUUGUGGGCGUAUGAGAUCUUCGUUGUUUGCAAUAUGUAUAUUUCUUUGGUGUACUUUUUCGUAUGGUAGGUCAACGUCGGUUUUGGUCGCCAUAAAAUGAUCGGAGGAAUGUAGCUUCGACCUCGGUUGAAGUGUUAUAGCCUUUGGUAAAUGUGGUGAUUAGGACCGAGGAUUGCAACGAAUACCUUUUAGGCUAUCCGUCUGACCUCUGAAAGUUACUUAGGUGCCGAAAGCUUGCUUACGGUCAUUUAAGUUGACGGUCAAUAGGUUAGAACGUGAUCACAACGUUAAGGAUGUUGACGUA